CAGAACUUGUGGGCUUCCAUCAAGAGUACUUGGCUCCAUUAAUUUCACAAUCUUUCUUGGAUAUUGGUUCUGUCUCGAGGAUUCUGGAUGGCAUAAUGAAACAUUGUUUGCAAUUUUGCUGGAAGAUGUAGAAUCAAGAGGACAGUGGAAAUACUGAUGAGCUACAGCAUAUCGCCCAGCAAUUUAACAAAAAAUCAAACUCCUUAUACACUAUACUGCGAAGUAGUAGGCUUGCCGGGAGCCAAAGAACGCCAUUCCUGAGGCGUUUUCUUUUGCGCCUCAACUUCAAUUCUUUCUUCGAGGUGACUGCAAGAGGCGUAUUGAACGUUGUCAGGCCUCACCCACACCUGCGAUGACUGCGGUUUUCCACCGCUCUAUAAUUUGCAUGAAUUAU
Molecule: long non-coding RNA, 394 nt
Organism: Ipomoea nil (Japanese morning glory)
Lineage: Eukaryota; Viridiplantae; Streptophyta; Magnoliopsida; Solanales; Convolvulaceae
Exons: 4
Source: RefSeq, a predicted model, not a curated record